This 425-nucleotide ribosomal RNA is filed under the name uncultured bacterium. RNAcentral's name for it is "bacterial SSU rRNA". It matches the Rfam family "Bacterial small subunit ribosomal RNA", at positions 355 to 776 of the family's 1533-position model. The record is from RNAcentral.
UGAGGAAUAUUGGUCAAUGGACGCAAGUCUGAACCAGCCAUGCCGCGUGAAGGAUGAAGGCCUUCUGGGUUGUAAACUUCUUUUACAGGAGAAGAAAACUAUGGUUUCUACUAUAGCCGACGGUACCCCGGGAAAUAAGCACCGGCUAACUCCGUGCCAGCAGCCGCGGUAAUACGGAGGGUGCAAGCGUUAUCCGGAUUUACUGGGUUUAAAGGGUGUGUAGGCGGGUCUUUAAGUCAGUGGUGAAAUCUCCGAGCUCAACUUGGAAACUGCCAUUGAUACUAUUGAUCUUGAAUUCUGUUGAGGUUGGCGGAAUAAGUCAUGUAGCGGUGAAAUGCAUAGAUAUGACUUAGAACUCCGAUUGCGAAGGCAGCUAACUAAACAGACAUUGACGCUGAGGCACGAAAGCGUGGGGAUCAAACAGG